This is a long non-coding RNA of Morone saxatilis (striped sea-bass), 7105 nucleotides long. RefSeq lists it as uncharacterized. The transcript has 4 exons. The record is from RefSeq and is a predicted model, not a curated record. NCBI's taxonomy places the organism in Eukaryota, Metazoa, Chordata, Actinopteri, Moronidae.
CGACCAUUAAUUAAGGUAAUUAGGCCCUGGUCAGCAAUUAGUAACCACAGAUAGCUUUUAGCAGGAGCUGAGACGUCCCGGCUGGUGAGGGGUUUGGUUCCAUACCAUCUGCUGACAAAUGUCACCGCGGACUCUUUGGUUUCACAGACGGGGAACUGGAGAGCCGUGUUUAAAAAUGACCUCUGUGUGAUCCAGGCUGACUCCUAGACUCCCACAGCUUCUGCUGCUGCAGGAUCACUUUGUUUGUUCUUUCUUUGGUUCUUUUCGCUUUCAAACAUGGAAGAGCGAGCUCUAUGAAAAUCCAUACAUGCUGCACACGGCCAGAGUGGGAAUAGGAAACAUUCACUGCACAAGGUAUCGAUCAAAAUUAGAACAUCUGGUCUGAGUGCUCUGGCAGCGUGCUGUCCUGUGGCAUGGCUGAGCCAGAGUGACACUGCCACCAUCCACAGAAACAAAACAUGAGUCAAGAGCCAGAAGGUUCUGGAGGGGGAGCGUCAUGAUGCCCCCUGCAGCAGCAGCAGCCACCAGGCUCUGGAUGUUGGCUGUGGGCAGAGAGAGAACGAGGCCCUGCUGCCCGCCCAGGUGUCCGCCUGCGUUGAAGGGGAUGAGGAUGGGCUGGUUCAUGCCUGGCGCUGCCCCAGACAUUACGCCGCCUACUGCGUUGGCCAGCUGCUGGGCCACCAGGAGAGACUGAAACACACAUGCAUAGGAUCAUUGGUUAUAGAAACACAGAUGGGUAGUUUAUCAUUAUACAUAUUUUUUAUAUGACCAAAAAUAUCUUUAUUGUGUUGUCCUAAACAUUUUGGUCCUUCUUAUACUGUAAGCUAAAUAACAUUACUGCUUGUAAUGUGAUUACUUUUAAUUACAGACAAAUUACAUUACCAUAUUUGAGGUACAUAAAAGAAAAUUAUAUGAAAGUAAAUUCUCAACUAUCUCAGAUUUUAUACAAAUACCCAGCAUGCCACAUUUUCCAAGUUCUAAUCCUGUGUUCUUGUGUUUAUUGUUCAGUUACCUGUCUCAUUACAUGCUAAAUAUUUCCCGAUUCCUAGUCUAACAGCGCGGGUGAGGGAGGUGCGUGGAGGCCAACGAUCCUCUGCAGCUCCCUCCACAGUUUGGUACUGUGUGUCACCGUUUUCACUAAGACACGUCCCUCUUUUUAGCCCUCUAGUAACUAAAACUCAUCCACGUGCGAAAAUAUGUCACAUUACAGAAACUAAACAUGCUCAAAGUUAAAUGUAAAUAUAAAGCGUUUCCUCUAAUAAGAAAACAAUAUAAGGUAAUGUAAUCGAUUACAGUAACAUCUAACAUCAAGGCAAAAUACCAUUAAUGUACUCUUAUACUUAACGCUGGUUGAAAUCAUGAAGAAUCACUGUUAGUUAUUACAUGAGACCAAACUCAAGUUUAUUUUGUUUUUAAUCACAGCUUGCUCAAAAUCUCUGUAGUCAAUAACUGAAUUAUCACCUGUCAUUACUUGUGUGUUGUUGAACACUUGUUUUGCUACAGAGUAAGGGCAUCACAUUUAGUUGAUGUAUUUACACUAUCUUCUAUCCUGGGAUGCUUGAUUGAGACAAGUAUAGCAGUAGCGACUGUAUCACUAAUCAAUGUAUUCUGAUGAAUGCAGUUGUUUUGCAGAUUAAUUCUGGGCUUUGCUGUGUCACAGACUGACAGUAAAAACACACUGCCGUCGGUACUGACAGAGAUCAAAUCCAAUCUUUGUGAAAGAGCUGCAAAUUUUUUCUUUCACAGAGAUGCAGAGUGAUUUAUGUUUCAUCCCAUUGAACAAAUCUGUGGUACCACAGAAAUGUGCCUGAAAUACACAGUGCUUUUCGGGGGAAAAAAAAAAAGUAGCAGUACUUCACUCUUUUUGAUGAGGGAUAUAACACAUCACUCUCGUCUCUUCAUGUACCCAUUCAUUCAUAUUAGCUAAAGCGGAAUCUGUGCAGUCAUACCCAUAGAGGAAAAGAUAUGUUAUCACAGCUAUCGCUCUGAUAUAUUUUACACAGUAGAAGAUCUCGUCAAAUGUAUUUUCCGAGGAAGUGGGUUUGGAAAUACACCUUUUUUUCUUUUAAGAGCUUUGAGCCACAAGUGGGAAGGUUUGUACCGUGGCUGAAAUCUCCAUGAAUACACAGAGAAUGACAUCUUAAAUUUCAUUCAUUCUGAUAAAACCUUUUUCAAAUUAUGUCAGCAUUUGAGCAUGUCAAACUGAAUUUACACAGGAGGUACGAGACAGGAGAUACCGAAGAUGCUGCAGAAUCCAACAAAAUUACUGUUUAAACAUCGAAUUGAAUUGUUUGGAAUAAAAUAUAAUAAAAGUACAUUGUCAGCUUGUGUUGCGUCCACAGUAAAGCAGCCUUUAGACGUUGCUAGGUAAGCCUGGCUGCACUGUGUUGACUCUGUGACUUACGUUCACAAGCCUUUAACUCCAAUUGUCAGCUAUCUGCUUCUGUUUUGCAUGGUGUGUCUGCAGCUUGCACAGGAUGCGGAGCGGGCUGACUGGUGCGAAGACCCCACCAUGCUCCCAAGCCUGGUGCUCCUGGGUGACAGGCGUGUCACUGUGAUAACCCUGCAUGGUGUAGAAUGCCUGCACCUACUCCGACAUACAUGUGAUCACAGUUUAAGAGGUGCUGUUGGAAAAGCUGUUGUACAGUGCUUGGCAGGCCUGACAGCUGCGUGUUGAGAAGCGCUCUCCUAGGGGCCACACAGACGCACAGGCUGGGUAUGGGUUGAGAUCUGGAUGGGGAAGCAGCCCCGCUCAGGACUGGAUGUGGUACCCAGCCUCUCUGCCCAUCAGGGGAGAAUAGGCCCUUCUAUCUGCUUGGCAGCUCUGGCACUGAGAAAUUGCCCAUAAUCACCCAGAUAGCAGACUUUUGUCAUCCUAACUGCGAGUGGGAAACAGAAGGAAGGUGGAUUCAUGUUGGGUAAACUACCAUCGGAUAAUGGUUGUUCGAACAAUAUCCGGCUCUGGAGCGAGAAUCUAUCAAAACAUAUUGAUCCUGGAACAAGAGAAUUGGGUAUGGCAUGCGGAGCGCCUUUGUUUCUGAAAAGUGUUAGCUUCACAGAGACUGUACUGACAGCAUUAAUAUAUUAGAUGGUGACUGUUGAGAGCCGCCUGCUGAGGCUCAGACUCUAACUGCUGCCUGCUCGAGAUGCCUUCUCUUUUGUGUUUAUUUCUUAUCUAUUAUCCAAACAGUGGCUUUGACCAGCGAGGGUAUCUGUAAUCAGAAAAGUGCUUUUAAUUAAGCUCAUUUUUUAUCUCCACUUGCAGCAGAUUGACUUUCACUAGGGAUUUCUCUCGACAUAAACCUGCCCGACAGAACUGAAACGGCUCUCCUCCCGUCUCGUGUUUCCUCUUUUGUUUAUCCUGAUGAGGAUUGACUGUCAUUGAGUAACACUGAGUGCAGAGAGAAUGGCCUUAUUAAAGAGGGUGGAGGAAACCUGACGAUCUCUGUGUGUGUGUGCUUGUGCGUGUUGAGCGGUGACAUUGAGCAACACUAAUGAGAUAGAUGUUCAUUAAACAUCGCCGAGCCACCAGGCCAAUAAAUCCAAUCAGAUAGGACAAUUCCUGAUUGAGCUAUUAACAGGGCUGCAGGCUCGGGCUCUUUGCUCCCCUGCUUGUUUUGACAAGGCCGGUAUUGUCAGCUCAUUAGUGCCACAACUCAAUUACAUGUGAAGAUGAUGUGUGAUGACAAAAUACUUUACGAUUUCACAUUUUAGCUGAAUAUUAUUUAGCGUCAGUGGGGGUGUUUUAUGUUUCUGGUUUCAUUCACCACAUGCACUGAGAGGAUGUGAAUGUAACAAGACUAAGUCAGCGAUUUUGUUACUGAAACUGCCAUGCAAACGCUUUAAUCUUACUCCCAUUAUGGCUGUGAUCAGAGUAAACUGUCAAUCUUUCAAAUUACUGACUAAAAACUUAGAUUGGCUCCUUUGAGUGCUUUCAUUCUCCACGUGUGCAGCAGUGGUCAUCGAAUGGCUAAAAAGAGCAGUGUGUUCUCAUGGAGGCAAAGCCCACAAACUAAACGAGGGGACCGGAGACAACGUCGGACCGCUCAUCAUCAAAAAGAAGGAUGCUUAAGCCAACCAAUCAGAGAACUCGGUCCUCCCUUGACUUCUCAUGCACCCGGCCCCGGUUUGUCCGAUCAUUUAUCAUCAUUACUGUAUCACACACUGAUGGUUACGGUGACACUGCUACAGUCAAACCGGUGGAGAUUGUUCAGCACAGAAACUCAGAAAGUGCUUACAACGGGAAUUUUGAUUUCAUUCAGUCUACAUUGUUCCUAUAUUAAGGUCAUUUGAUGAGGGACGGUCAACACAGUCAGAUGGAGGCCUUUUCAGUGGAUCUGAUAUAAGUAUUAUAUACCUGUAUCUCCUUCCUUCUUAACUCCUCUAGGUGUGGAGCAGGUGUUUGAAACCUGAUGAGGCUGGCAGUUUUUUGCCUCGGUCUGUUCAAUGUUUCGCAGUAAUUUUAAGAGGUUUGAAAUUAGUAAAAAUAGGGUCAAAAUAGUUAAAGCCAUUAAAAAGAGUGUAAAGAACUUGUAACCAAAUGCAACAAGAAGUCCUCCUUCAGGAGGCAGGCAUUUCCGAACUCACAGCCAAUCAAAGGCUGCCUCAAGAUGGACGGUAUAAUUAGAGGAAAAAAGACCUUCAGAUGCAAAAAGAAUCAAUGUAUUACAUGUGAAUAAAUGUGACAAUAGUGUAUGUUUUAAAGAAAUAUUUUGAAGAUUUGAAGUUUUCAGGGGCAAUAAAUAGGCAGACAAACAACAAUGGCAGAUCAAGAGAUAAUAAAUUGAUUCUUUUUGCAACUUCUCCAACUUUUGUUGUUGUUUGUGUGCUCCUAUUUGACACAGUUACUCUUGGCUGCACACACCUGACACUGCUGCUUGAAAAUACUGGGUCGAAGAGCACAAACUCUUUUACAUUUGUGUGUCUAACAUCUUAUUAUGCCAGUUUCCUUUUAAUGUUUAUGUUAACUUUCUCCAGACCUCUGUGAGCUUUACAUAAAAGAGUGUAACUCAACUGUUAUAGCUGAGGACAGGCAUCUACCUCUUCUGCAAACUUCCUGCCUCAAUCAAAAUCUGAGCUUAUGUGUUCACAUUAUCACUGAUUAAACAGAGUGUUUUAAGUUUGGCUUUAUUUUGUUGCAGAUCCCCUGACUCACCUGUGGACCCAUUGGGUAUCCUGGGUGUGACUGGCCCAGUUGACUCUGUUCAGAGGGACUGCUGCUGGCGUCAGACUGGACCGAACCAUCACGAGCUCCUGGGAGAGCAACAGUCAGAAAAGUAGAAAGAGAAAACAAACAGCCCACCUUAGAUCAACACGGACAAUAUAAGUAGAUAAACACACAACACAGACCACGCUGUGAUAUUACAACACAGAGCGUCGCACGGCGCAGAGGAGGGCAGUUGGGAAAGAAGGGGAAUUUGUAUUUAAGUGCUUUAUCAAUAACCGCUGUAGCAGUGAAUAAAUUACCAACCAGCAGAGAGGCUCAUUGAUGGGGGAUGAUGCAUACUGGCGGGUCCCCGAUGGCCUAGAUUACCGCUGAGAGAUAGAGCUCCACCACAAACGCUGGGGCCAUAUUAUUCAGCCAUUUACAUCACUGAGUAUCACUCAUCUAAACCCACUCCCCCCCCUCCGCUCUGAGCCCGCAGCUACGAGACACAAUUAGACCUGUUUGCUAUGAGGGCAGAGUGGAGCAGAGCAGACAGGGACAUGAUAAUAAGCUUGCUGAUGGCUGCAGGGAAAAUAAAGGACACAGACGAUUGGAUAUCAUAGCAAUCCCUAUCUAACAGAAUCUCUCAGCAGUGCACCGAGUGUGGACUGCCCUAAAAGGUCCGAAAGGCUGCUUUGACCCUCACCCUUUGACCCCGACGAUAUCGAGAUGGCACGAUGCCCUCACUGUUGACACAAAGGCUUGUGGAGUGCAAAGACGAGUAAAUCUUGCAGAAAGAACUGUCAGAAAAAUGAAAUAUCGCUUAGAUGUCUUUCACCAAAAUGACUGUCUGGAAGAAAAAUACAGUACCACCUGACUAAAAAUGACUGGAACAAGUUAAUGCGAAGGGCACUUGGCUCUUUCUAAAGCAAGAAAGUAUUGUUCAACCUCAACAAUAGUCUUGGGAACGUGGACAAAUCAAAGAUCAUUUUUAACAAUUUUAAUGAAAAACUAUACCAAACAAAUUGACAAGCUCACACUGAUCUUCACGGGGAUCGCUGUAAAGAUGUUGUUUCGUGGUUUAAGGGACGAACUUCUUUUGAACAAGCUGGUGAAGGUGAGGUUGUAGUGCGGCAAAAAUGUGGUAGUGUGGUGGCUGGUUGUCAAUACAGUGCAAAACGUCUACUCACUGAUUCAUCUCGCUCAUUAAUCUCUGCGCCAAUGACAAAUUCAGGCCUUCAAUUGAUGCCAACCUCCGUGUUUUACAACAUUAGCCUCAACCUAGGUGAAUAUGACUGUCCUCGACCUUCAAGCAGUUAUCCAAAGUAUUUAAGCAUCUUUGGAAACAUCUCUAUCAAGUUGUCUUUUUUUGUACAACAUUUUGUAUGGCUCUGAUUGAGUGUUGAGUUUGUAGAGAGUUUGUCUUUCCCAUAAUAACCAGCGAUUCAAUCAUUUCAAAACCAUUUGAAUCAACAUCUAGUGAUAGUGAUUGGAUUGUUUUCUUUUUCUUCUUCUUCUUCUUCUUCUUCUUCUUCUUCUUCUUCUUCUUCUUCGGAUUUAUUUAAUAUGAGUGCUUGGAGCUCCUGUUAAGUCAAUUUAAAAGCACAAUAACACUGACUUAUUUAUUUAUAAAAUACCAACGCGAUCAUUUUACAAAAAGGUUACAUGUCAUCAGUGAUUUAAUAAGCAUGAUUUAGUUUUGAAUGUAUGAUACAAAACCCCUCAUAAAAAGUGAAUAAAACAUCUUUUUAAAUGUACUCUCUCCUUCAUAAAACAGCUCUUCCUCUGAAUAAAGUGGAUUUUGUAGAUGAAGUCAAGCCAACCAUGUGGAAACAUGUUUGAAGGCCACACAACCUUGUUACACAGCACAAUGUUGGCAAUGAAUUAAAAAAAUGUAAUCACAUUUCCACUGUAUGAUCGAUUUUCUUAAAUGGAAUAUCGCAGCUUUUAAAUAAAGAA